AACGCGAAGAACCUUACCUACUCUUGACAUCCAGAGAACUUAGCAGAGAUGCUUUGGUGCCUCCGGGAACUCUGAGACAGGUGCUGCAUGGCUGUCGUCAGCUCGUGUUGUGAAAUGUUGGGUUAAGUCCCGCAACGAGCGCAACCCUUAUCCUUUGUUGCCAGCGGUUAGGCCGGGAACUCAAAGGAGACUGCCAGUGAUAAACUGGAGGAAGGUGGGGAUGACGUCAAGUCAUCAUGGCCCUUACGAGUAGGGCUACACACGUGCUACAAUGGCAUAUACAAAGAGAAGCGACCUCGCGAGAGCAAGCGGACCUCAUAAAGUAUGUCGUAGUCCGGAUUGGAGUCUGCAACUCGACUCCAUGAAGUCGGAAUCGCUAGUAAUCGUAGAUCAGAAUGCUACGGUGAAUACGUUCCCGGGUCUUGUACACACCG
This 434-nucleotide ribosomal RNA is filed under the name uncultured bacterium. Its description in RNAcentral is "bacterial SSU rRNA". It matches the Rfam family "Bacterial small subunit ribosomal RNA", at positions 958 to 1392 of the family's 1533-position model. The record is from RNAcentral.